Molecule: transfer RNA, 89 nt
Filed under: Candidatus Vesicomyosocius endoextente
Lineage: Bacteria; Pseudomonadati; Pseudomonadota; Gammaproteobacteria; Pseudothioglobaceae (SeqCode)
Description: tRNA-Ser
Rfam family: tRNA
About the family: Transfer RNA (tRNA) molecules are approximately 80 nucleotides in length. Their secondary structure includes four short double-helical elements and three loops (D, anti-codon, and T loops). Further hydrogen bonds mediate the characteristic L-shaped molecular structure. tRNAs have two regions of fundamental functional importance: the anti-codon, which is responsible for specific mRNA codon recognition, and the 3' end, to which the tRNAs corresponding amino acid is attached (by aminoacyl-tRNA synthetases). tRNAs cope with the degeneracy of the genetic code in two manners: having more than one tRNA (with a specific anti-codon) for a particular amino acid; and 'wobble' base-pairing, i.e. permitting non-standard base-pairing at the 3rd anti-codon position.
Source: RNAcentral
GGAAGGAUGUCAGAGAGGAUGAAUGAGCAUGCUUGGAAAGUGUGUUAUACCUUUUGGUAUCGUGGGUUCGAAUCCCACUCCUUCCACCA